GAUGUUGCGUGGGGUUAGAUCCAGUUACCUUGAUGUGGUAAAGAUCAGAAGGAAAUUUCUCAACAUUU
This 68-nucleotide transfer RNA is filed under the name Arcuatula senhousia (Asian date mussel). Its description in RNAcentral is "tRNA-Ile". Lineage: Eukaryota; Metazoa; Mollusca; Bivalvia; Mytilida; Mytilidae. The record is from RNAcentral.